Pan troglodytes (chimpanzee) is the source of this 622-nucleotide long non-coding RNA. RefSeq lists it as uncharacterized. The record is from RefSeq and is a predicted model, not a curated record. The transcript is spliced from 4 exons. Lineage: Eukaryota; Metazoa; Chordata; Mammalia; Primates; Hominidae.
CGCGCGGCGAGUUUACCUCGGUUCACCUCCCGGCAACCGGCGGCCCGGAUAUUAUCAGAUGCUGUGGGCUUCCCGGCGCCUCAUUGCCCGAGGAGAGGCGGCCGCAGGUAGCUGAGCUGGAGCUAGCACAAGUUGAAUUCACCAAAUAGAAGACACUGGAAAUGAGACCCGAGGGUUGGAGGAGGAGGAAGUUGCUGAUGGGAAGGCAGAAAAGUACAAUGGAAACAGCAUGGGCUCCAGGAAGUCAGCUCUACCACUGACUGGCUGUGUGAUUUUUGGCCUGCAAUGUGAACACGAUGGCUGGAGCUCCGGCAGCCAUUCUGGGCCAGGAGGUAGCCUUGAAGAUGGAAGCCACAUGUUGGGAUGGUGAAUCCAAAAGAUGAGGAGCCUGUAUCCCCUGUGACACCAGAGCUGCCAUACCAGCCCUGGGUUCCUCCAUCUAUACUGCCUUCAUAUGGUAAAGAAAUAUUCUUGGAUCUUGUUAGGUGUCUGUUGCAGCCAAACACAAUCCCAACUGAUAUUCACUGUAAAUGAUUCCAUGGCUCCCUGUAGUACUUUUACAAAGCAUCUAUCACAAUUGUAAUUAAUAAAAUAAUUAUGCAAUUACUGGUUUAAUGCCUAA